ACGGCAAUGGUCCAGUGGUAUGAUGCGGGCUUCCCAAGCCUGCGAUCCGGGUUCGAUUCCCGGUUGCCGUA
RNAcentral lists this transfer RNA (71 nucleotides) under uncultured archaeon. RNAcentral's name for it is "tRNA-Gly(ccc)". It matches the Rfam family "tRNA". Rfam says of the family: Transfer RNA (tRNA) molecules are approximately 80 nucleotides in length. Their secondary structure includes four short double-helical elements and three loops (D, anti-codon, and T loops). The record is from RNAcentral.